Molecule: microRNA precursor, 105 nt
Filed under: Marmota monax (woodchuck)
Lineage: Eukaryota; Metazoa; Chordata; Mammalia; Rodentia; Sciuridae
Source: RNAcentral
AGAGGGAUAACUGGGUCAAAUGUUGGUUGCAUUCUAAGUUUUCUAAGGAAUCUUCAUAUUGCUUUCCAGAGUUGUUGCACACCAAAUUGCAGUCCCACCAGUAAU